This 505-nucleotide ribosomal RNA is filed under the name uncultured bacterium. RNAcentral describes it as "partial 16S ribosomal RNA". It matches the Rfam family "Bacterial small subunit ribosomal RNA", at positions 28 to 507 of the family's 1533-position model. The record is from RNAcentral.
GACGAACGCUGGCGGCGUGCCUAAUACAUGCAAGUAGAACGCACAGUUUAUACCGUAGCUUGCUCCACCAUAAACUGUGAGUUGCGAACGGGUGAGUAACGCGUAGGUAACCUGCCUGGUAGCGGGGGAUAACUAUUGGAAACGAUAGCUAAUACCGCAUAAUAUUGAUUAUUGCAUGAUAAUUGAUUGAAAGAUGCUAUUGCAUCACUACCAGAUGGACCUGCGUUGUAUUAGCUAGUAGGUGAGGUAACGGCUCACCUAGGCGACGAUACAUAGCCGACCUGAGAGGGUGAUCGGCCACACUGGGACUGAGACACGGCCCAGACUCCUACGGGAGGCAGCAGUAGGGAAUCUUCGGCAAUGGACGAAAGUCUGACCGAGCAACGCCGCGUGAGUGAAGAAGGUUUUCGGAUCGUAAAGCUCUGUUGUAAGAGAAGAACGGGUGUGAGAGUGGAAAGUUCACACUGUGACGGUAUCUUACCAGAAAGGGACGGCUAACUACGUG